CGUAUAUUAAAGUUGUUGCAGUUAAAAAGCUCGUAGUUGGAUUUGUGGAUGAUCUUGAGGUCCACGUUUUGCGUUGGUACUAUUGAGAUUGUCCAUCCUUGGGUGGAAUCUGUGUGGCAUUAGGUUGUCGUGCAGGGGAUGCCCAUCGUUUACUGUGAAAAAAUUAGAGUGUUCAAAGCAGGCUUAUGCCGCUGAAUAUAUUAGCAUGGAAUAAUGAGAUAGGACUUGGGUGCUGUUUUGUUGGUUUGCGCACCUUGGUAAUGAUUAAUAGGGACAGUUGGGGG
This 284-nucleotide ribosomal RNA is filed under the name uncultured diatom. RNAcentral describes it as "partial 18S ribosomal RNA". It matches the Rfam family "Eukaryotic small subunit ribosomal RNA", at positions 598 to 888 of the family's 1831-position model. The record is from RNAcentral. Lineage: Eukaryota; Bacillariophyta.